Molecule: ribosomal RNA, 483 nt
Filed under: Cephalonomia tarsalis
Lineage: Eukaryota; Metazoa; Arthropoda; Insecta; Hymenoptera; Bethylidae
Description: partial 16S ribosomal RNA
Source: RNAcentral
UACCAUCCUCCCCUGUUUAUCCAAAACCUGGUCUUCUGAUUAUAAUAUAAAAUUGGUUCUGCUCAAUGAAAAUUUUUAAAUAGCUGCAGUAUUUUAACUGUACUAAGGUAGCAUAAUAAUUUGUUUAUUAAAUGUAAACUGGAAUGAAUGAAUUGAUAAAAUAAAAACUUUAUUAAUUUAAUUUAAUUGAAUUUAUUUUUUUAGUUAAAAAACUGAAAUUAAUUUAUGGGACGAGAAGACCCUAUAGAAUUUUAUAAAUUUUUAUUAUUAAAUUUUUUUUUAUAUUUAAAAUUAAAAAUUUAUUUAAUUGGGAGGAUGAUUAAAUUUAUAAAACUUUAAUUUUUAAAAUUCAAUGAUUAUUGAAUUUAAAGAAUUUUUAUUAAAAUUUAUAAGAAAAAUUACCUUAGGGAUAACAGGGUACUAUUUUUGGAGAGAUCAAAUUGAUAAAAAUGUUUACGACCUCGAUGUUGAAUAAGAAAGCGU